Molecule: non-coding RNA, 89 nt
Filed under: Thiobacillus sp.
Lineage: Bacteria; Pseudomonadati; Pseudomonadota; Betaproteobacteria; Nitrosomonadales; Thiobacillaceae
Description: Glycine sequence
Rfam family: Glycine riboswitch aptamer
About the family: This family represents the bacterial glycine riboswitch. Glycine riboswitches usually consist of two metabolite-binding aptamers domains with similar structures in tandem.
Source: RNAcentral
AGCACCGUUGCGGGAGUGCGCAUGCACGCCACACCAACCGAAGGUGCAAGCGCCCGGAAUCGCUCAGGAAAAAGGAUCGCAAGGCCGGA